Molecule: long non-coding RNA, 2368 nt
Filed under: Bos indicus x Bos taurus (hybrid cattle)
Lineage: Eukaryota; Metazoa; Chordata; Mammalia; Artiodactyla; Bovidae
Source: RNAcentral
CCCCACACACCCUCGCAGUUGUUCAGCCCAGUUAGGAGAGCAGGUCAGUGGUAAAGGUGGAUCAUCCUUUCUUUUUACUUUUGUGAAGCAACAAUCAAACUGAGCACAUUUAUUAUACAAUGUUACGUGUUCACCUACCAGCUAGUCCCAAUCUCUACAUCAAAACAUUAUUUUCAAAAAGUUAAGAACCCAACAAUGCAAAUAUAAGACAAAUACAUGAUGAAGAUCUCUGAGCCCGUUAAUGACCAAUCCAGUAAACGAGUAUUUGGAGCCACACAGUCUCUGUGAAAUUCAGCUGAACCCCCAGGUUGCCUUUGCUGAGGCUGAAGUUAGUGUGACGAUGAGGGUGACUGUUUUCUGGAAAUUUCUUGUGGAAUGAAGGAGGCUGGAUAUCCCGGUUUGUGUCCAGAGAGGACCAGCAGUGCCUCCAGGUCAGUAGGGUUUUUUCUGGGCCUCAGGAUCGGGGCUCGGAGUUAACUGUAGCCAUGGCUGAGGGCAAGACACAUGUCUGAUUUUGAGGUCUGAGGGUCUUGUUCUUGUUUGAGCAGGAAGGAAACUGAGGCACAGAGUGAGGCCAGAGCACAUGGACAGCAGUAGCAGGCUGCGCGAAUGCCGCAAGCUCGACAGGGCGACAGGUCUGAUGUCAGGAGUGAAGAGACUUCAGACCUGUGGUGACAGAGGCCUUAAAACCUCACAGGGAGACAUCCUUGGAGCUCCAUGGCCAGGAAGUGCGGGAGGAAACAGGACUUUCAAAGCAGAAAAAGCCCACCAUGUUCCUGCCCAAGCGAGGCCACGCCAGCCGAGGGUACCCUGUGCAGAGGGCCAGUGGGGCCCCAUACAGCCAGCACCUGCCACAAAAGACGAGUUGGACCACGCAAGUCUUAGUUUGAAUGAUACAUUCACUCAGCCAGUAUUUAUCAAGCAUCCCCUACAUGGCGAAGGCUUGGGACCCGAGAGGGAGGCUGGAAUCGAGUGGCAACAGCUCGCCGCACACUGUGUGGUAAGAACCUUCAGGAAGAGGCCCAGAGGCCUGGAAAGCACGUGACAGCAGAGUUGGGUCUGGGCUGGGGGACGGUGUCCGGGAAGUCAUGUUGGAUUGGAAAGCCGAAAGAGAAGUUGGUGUUAAACUAUGUGAAAUAGAGAAUGAGGCAUUCCAGGAGGAGGAAGCAGCUUGGGUGGCAUGUUUGAGAAGUCAGAACAGCAGAUAAAUGGAUGGACCUAGAGUCUGUCAUACAGAGUGAAGGAAGUCAAAGAGGGAAACAAGCAUAGCAUAUUAACGCAUAUAUAUGGAAUCCAGAAAAAUGGUAUAGACGAACCUAUUUGCAGGGCAGGACAGAGACCCAGACGUAGAGAGCAGACAUGUGGGCACGGGAUGGGGAGGGCAGUGGACCAAGUUGGGAGAGGAGCGCUGACAUAUAUGCGCCCCCACGUGUGAAACUGAUCGCGAGGGGGCGCUGCUGUGUAACAGCACAGCUCCGUGCUCUGUGAUGAGCGGAGGUGGGGCGGGCUGAGAGAGGGAGGAGACAGAUGUGAACAUAAAGCGGAUUCACGUUGUUGUACCGCAGAAACUGACAGCAUCAUAAAGCAGUUAUACAUCAAUAAAAAAAUUUUAAACAGAAUUCAAAAUAUAAACGAAGUCAACAGGGUGUAGACAGAGGGGGAGAUGAAAGGCCGACUCUGCUGGCAUUCUGCUUCUAACCCCUGGCUGCUCUCUGCUCCCUACGCACUCCAGAGGCAGCACGGAGGUCCGUCGGCUGGCACGGUGCGGUGGGGCAGCUGGUGUUGUGAAUCAGGCCGUCGCCAAUCAGAGAACGGCUACUUCACAACACCAGGGUCACACCCCACCCCAGGCAGCGCUCCCAGCUCCAGCCCCCAUGCAGCCUCCACCUCGGCCGAUGGCCAUCGCUGGGGCACCGCCAAGCCCCCCAGAACCGCAGCAGGCGGCUUUCCGGUUGACACCUCACGCUGUGCAGACACCACCGCAAACACAGGAGCCCUGAGGCGGUUUCUCCCCAGGCGCAGACAGCUCCACUUGGAAGUGAAAGGCACUCCCACCAGCAUUGGCUUCCUGCAGAGAAAAUGGAGCCACCAGCUUCCCACGUGUCCAAGUAGGCACCAUUCAGGGUGUGGUCCACGGUGGUGGCAUCAGCAUGCUGGGAAGGUGGCCCCCACACGCCUGCUGCAUCACAGUCCUGGGGCCUGGAGCCCAGCCUCAGCUCAGGGACUGGUGUUAACACGACCAGCUCCUGUUGGUCGCCCCACAUCCUCUCCCGCUUCCAUUCCAACCUCAUGUCUUCUUGUUCCAGCCAGAAUGGUCUUUUCCAAACACGUGCCUGUAUCGUGGGAACCCCUCCACUCCCUGCCUUAA